GCACAUCUGUUAAAAGAUAAC
Molecule: small nuclear RNA, 21 nt
Filed under: Arabidopsis thaliana (thale cress)
Lineage: Eukaryota; Viridiplantae; Streptophyta; Magnoliopsida; Brassicales; Brassicaceae
Description: snRNA_03088
Source: RNAcentral